RNAcentral lists this ribosomal RNA (1655 nucleotides) under Providencia stuartii. Its description in RNAcentral is "partial 23S ribosomal RNA". It matches the Rfam family "Bacterial large subunit ribosomal RNA", at positions 591 to 2228 of the family's 2925-position model. The record is from RNAcentral. Lineage: Bacteria; Pseudomonadati; Pseudomonadota; Gammaproteobacteria; Enterobacterales; Morganellaceae.
GGGUGACUGCGUACCUUUUGUAUAAUGGGUCAGCGACUUAUAUUCUGUAGCAAGGUUAACCGAAUAGGGGAGCCGUAGGGAAACCGAGUCUUAACUGGGCGAAUGAGUUGCAGGGUAUAGACCCGAAACCCGGUGAUCUAGCCAUGGGCAGGUUGAAGGUUGGGUAACACUAACUGGAGGACCGAACCGACUAAUGUUGAAAAAUUAGCGGAUGACUUGUGGCUGGGGGUGAAAGGCCAAUCAAACCGGGAGAUAGCUGGUUCUCCCCGAAAGCUAUUUAGGUAGCGCCUCGUGAACUCAUCUUCGGGGGUAGAGCACUGUUUCGGCUAGGGGGUCAUCCCGACUUACCAACCCGAUGCAAACUACGAAUACCGAAGAAUGUUAUCACGGGAGACACACGGCGGGUGCUAACGUUCGUCGUGAAGAGGGAAACAACCCAGACCGCCAGCUAAGGUCCCAAAGUCAUGGUUAAGUGGGAAACGAAGUGGGAAGGCUCAGACAGCCAGGAUGUUGGCUUAGAAGCAGCCAUCAUUUAAAGAAAGCGUAAUAGCUCACUGGUCGAGUCGGCCUGCGCGGAAGAUGUAACGGGGCUAAACCAUGCACCGAAGCUGCGGCAGCGACAUGUAAAUGUUGUUGGGUAGGGGAGCGUUCUGUAAGCCUGUGAAGGUGUGCUGCGAGGCAUGCUGGAGGUAUCAGAAGUGCGAAUGCUGACAUAAGUAACGAUAAUGCGGGUGAAAAACCCGCACGCCGGAAGACCAAGGGUUCCUGUCCAACGUUAAUCGGGGCAGGGUGAGUCGACCCCUAAGGCGAGGCAGAAAUGCGUAGUCGAUGGGAAACAGGUUAAUAUUCCUGUACUGGUGAUAAUUGCGAUGGGGGGACGGAGAAGGCUAGGCUGGCCGGGCGACGGUUGUCCCGGUUUAAGGAUGUAGGUGGGUGAAUUAGGCAAAUCCGGUUCGCUAUACACUGAGGUCUGAUGACGAGUCACUACGGUGGCGAAGUAGCUCAUGCCCCGCUUCCAGGAAAAGCCUCUAAGCUCUAGAUUAUCAUUAAUCGUACCCCAAACCGACACAGGUGGUCAGGUAGAGAAUACUCAGGCGCUUGAGAGAACUCGGGUGAAGGAACUAGGCAAAAUGGUGCCGUAACUUCGGGAGAAGGCACGCUGGCACUAGGUGAAGUGGUUUACCCAUGGAGCUGAAGCCAGUCGCAGAUACCAGCUGGCUGCAACUGUUUAUUAAAAACACAGCACUGUGCAAACACGAAAGUGGACGUAUACGGUGUGACGCCUGCCCGGUGCUGGAAGGUUAAUUGAUGGGGUUAUCCGUAAGGAGAAGCUCUUGAUCGAAGCCCCAGUAAACGGCGGCCGUAACUAUAACGGUCCUAAGGUAGCGAAAUUCCUUGUCGGGUAAGUUCCGACCUGCACGAAUGGCGUAAUGAUGGCCAGGCUGUCUCCACCCGAGACUCAGUGAAAUUGAACUCGCUGUGAAGAUGCAGUGUACCCGCGGCAAGACGGAAAGACCCCGUGAACCUUUACUAUAGCUUGACACUGAACAUUGAGCCUUGAUGUGUAGGAUAGGUGGGAGGCUUUGAAGUGUGGACGCCAGUCUGCAUGGAGCCAACCUUGAAAUACCACCCUUUAAUGUUUGAUGUUCUAACGU